ACUUCGGGGGAUUUGUUGGGCGGCGAGCGGCGGACGGGUGAGUAAUGCCUGGGAAAUUGCCCUGAUGUGGGGGAUAACCAUUGGAAACGAUGGCUAAUACCGCAUGAUAGCUUCGGCUCAAAGAGGGGGACCUUCGGGCCUCUCGCGUCAGGAUAUGCCCAGGUGGGAUUAGCUAGUUGGUGAGGUAAGGGCUCACCAAGGCGACGAUCCCUAGCUGGUCUGAGAGGAUGAUCAGCCACACUGGAACUGAGACACGGUCCAGACUCCUACGGGAGGCAGCAGUGGGGAAUAUUGCACAAUGGGCGCAAGCCUGAUGCAGCCAUGCCGCGUGUAUGAAGAAGGCCUUCGGGUUGUAAAGUACUUUCAGCAGUGAGGAAGGAGGUAUCGUUAAUAGCGGUAUCUUUUGACGUUAGCUGCAGAAGAAGCACCGGCUAACUCCGUGCCAGCAGCCGCGGUAAUACGGAGGGUGCGAGCGUUAAUCGGAAUUACUGGGCGUAAAGCGCAUGCAGGUGGUUUGUUAAGUCAGAUGUGAAAGCCCGGGGCUCAACCUCGGAAUUGCAUUUGAAACUGGCAGGCUAGAGUACUGUAGAGGGGGGUAGAAUUUCAGGUGUAGCGGUGAAAUGCGUAGAGAUCUGAAGGAAUACCGGUGGCGAAGGCGGCCCCCUGGACAGAUACUGACACUCAGAUGCGAAAGCGUGGGGAGCAAACAGGAUUAGAUACCCUGGUAGUCCACGCCGUAAACGAUGUCUACUUGGAGGUUGUGGCCUUGAGCCGUGGCUUUCGGAGCUAACGCGUUAAGUAGACCGCCUGGGGAGUACGGUCGCAAGAUUAAAACUCAAAUGAAUUGACGGGGGCCCGCACAAGCGGUGGAGCAUGUGGUUUAAUUCGAUGCAACGCGAAGAACCUUACCUACUCUUGACAUCCAGAGAACUUAGCAGAGAUGCUUUGGUGCCUUCGGGAACUCUGAGACAGGUGCUGCAUGGCUGUCGUCAGCUCGUGUUGUGAAAUGUUGGGUUAAGUCCCGCAACGAGCGCAACCCUUAUCCUUGUUUGCCAGCGAGUAAUGUCGGGAACUCCAGGAAACUGCCGGUGA
This 1092-nucleotide ribosomal RNA is filed under the name Vibrio sp. RNAcentral's name for it is "bacterial SSU rRNA". It matches the Rfam family "Bacterial small subunit ribosomal RNA", at positions 70 to 1158 of the family's 1533-position model. The record is from RNAcentral. Lineage: Bacteria; Pseudomonadati; Pseudomonadota; Gammaproteobacteria; Vibrionales; Vibrionaceae.